Molecule: long non-coding RNA, 228 nt
Filed under: Phoenix dactylifera (date palm)
Lineage: Eukaryota; Viridiplantae; Streptophyta; Magnoliopsida; Arecales; Arecaceae
Description: long non-coding RNA (PDAC_LNC001335)
Source: RNAcentral
UGAAUGAUUCGAUGGUAGAUUCAUGCAAAGAAGGUGAAUCCUUCAUUCACACAAAAGAUUCAAGCACAAUACUGGUUAAAGAUGGAUGGGAGAGAGUCCUUUCCUUUUCCCUUCCAUCCAAUAGAACUAUACCACCUCAAAUCCAUCGUCAUCCUUAGAUCCUACAAUUCUCAAUCCAAGCCAUUAAACCAACUUCUCUCCUUUAUAUAAUUAUAGCCAUCCAAUCGU